AUAACAAGGCGCCGAUGACAAAUCUCCGUGUGAGAGAGUCCCGUUUAAACUGGACUAGUCGGUAUCCUGGCC
Molecule: non-coding RNA, 72 nt
Filed under: unclassified sequences
Description: DUF3800-II RNA
Rfam family: DUF3800-II RNA
Source: Rfam by way of RNAcentral